Small nuclear RNA from Delphinapterus leucas (beluga whale), 104 nucleotides. The record is from Ensembl. NCBI's taxonomy places the organism in Eukaryota, Metazoa, Chordata, Mammalia, Artiodactyla, Monodontidae.
UUGCUUCGGCAGCACAUAUACAACGAUUGGGACAGUACAGAGAAGCUUAGCAUGGCCCCCUGUGCAAGGAUGACCUGCAAAUCGGUGAAGUCUUCCAUGUUUUU